UAGCGAUGGAGAGAAGGAGGAGUGACAAUUCCGCGCCCUGACGAAAUAGGGCGUUAAAAGAUGUAGGUAUAUUUUCUAUAGGCAAAUCCGUAGAGAAUGCUGAAGUCCAACAGUACCAGGAGGCUCCGGCCGAAUGGAUAGAGAAUGUAAGCAGACUUCCGAGAAAAUCUUCUAAGCAUAUUGAUACGGUACCCGUACCGCAAACCGACACAGGUAGUCAAGGAGAGAAUCCUGAGGUGCUCGAGUGAGUCAUGGCUAAGGAACUAGGCAAAUUAAACCUGUAACUUCGGGAAAAGGGUUGCCUCUCUUUAGCAAUAAAGAAGGUCGCAGAGAAAUGGCCCAGGCGACUGUUUAACAAAAACACAUGGCUAUGCGAAAUCGUAAGAUGAAGUAUAUGGCCUGACACCUGCCCGGUGCUGGAAGGUUAAGGGGGGAAGUUAGUCGCAGGGCGAAGCUUUGAACUGAAGCCCCAGUAAACGGCGGCCGUAACUAUAACGGUCCUAAGGUAGCGAAAUUCCUUGUCGGGUAAGUUCCGACCUGCACGAAUGGUGUGACGAUCUGGGCACUGUCUCAGCCAUGAGCUCGGUGAAAUUGUAGUCACGGUGAAGAUGCCGUGUACCCGUCACGGGACGGAAAGACCCCAUGCACCUUUACUAUAGCUUCGCAUUGACAUUGGGUAGAUGAUGUGUAGGGUAGGUGGGAGGCUUUGAUCCUGUGCCGCUAGGUAUAGGGGAGCCAACGGUGAAAUACCACCCUUUAUUUAUCUGAUGUCUAAUCCGCAAGACCUGCGGAGACAGUGCGUGGUGGGUAGUUUGACUGGGGUGGUCGCCUCCGAAAGUGUAUCGGAGGCUUUCAAAGGUAUGCUCAAUACGCUUGGUAACCGUAUGUGGAGUGCAAUAGCAUAAGCAUGCUUGACUGUGAGACUGACAAGUCGAGCAGGGUCGAAAGACGGAUAUAGUGAUCCGGUGGUUCUGUAUGGAAGGGCCAUCGCUCAAAGGAUAAAAGGUACGCUGGAUAACAGGCUGAUCUCCCCCAAGAGCUCACAUCGACGGGGAGGUUUGGCACCUCGAUGUCGGCUCGUCACAUCCUGGGGCUGGAGAAGGUCCCAAGGGUUAGGCUGUUCGCCUAUCAAAGUGGCACGCGAGCUGGGUUCAGAACGUCGUGAGACAGUUCGGUCCCUAUCUGUGAUGGGCGUAGGAAGUUUGAGAGGAUCUGACCUUAGUACGAGAGGACCGGGUUGGACCAACCGCUGGUGUACCGGUUGUGGCGUCAGCUGCAUCGCCGGGUAGCUACGUUGGGACGAGAUAAGCGCUGAAAGCAUCUAAGCGCGAAACUCACCUCAAGAUGAGACUUCCAUUAAGGGACGUCAGAGACUAUGACGUUGAUAGGCUGCAGGUGUAAAGGCAGAAAUGUCAAAGCUGAGCAGUACUAAUUACCC
RNAcentral lists this ribosomal RNA (1438 nucleotides) under metagenome. RNAcentral's name for it is "bacterial LSU rRNA". It matches the Rfam family "Bacterial large subunit ribosomal RNA", at positions 1459 to 2910 of the family's 2925-position model. The record is from RNAcentral.